Molecule: small nuclear RNA, 103 nt
Organism: Callithrix jacchus (white-tufted-ear marmoset)
Lineage: Eukaryota; Metazoa; Chordata; Mammalia; Primates; Cebidae
Source: Ensembl
GCGAUAAUUUUCUAUAGCACAUAUACUAAAAUUGGAACAAUGCUGAGAUUAGCAUGACCCCUGUCCAAGGAUGACACAAAUUUAUGAAGCCUUCCAUAAAAAC